GACGAACGCUGGCGGCGUGCUUAACACAUGCAAGUCGAACGGAAAGGCCCCUUUGGGGGUACUCGAGUGGCGAACGGGUGAGUAACACGUGAGUAACCUGCCCUUGACUUCGGGAUAACUUCAGGAAACUGGGGCUAAUACCGGAUAGGAAUCCUUGCUGCAUGGUGGGGGUUGGAAAGCUUCGGCGGUUUUGGAUGGACUCGCGGCUUAUCCGCUUGUUGGUGGGGUAGUGGCUUACCAAGGCUUUGACGGGUAGCCGGCCUGAGGGGGCGACCGGCCACAUUGGGACUGAGAUACGGCCCAGACUCCUACGGGAGGCAGCAGUGGGGAAUAUUGCACAAUGGGCGGAGGCCUGAUGCAGCAACGCCGCGUGCGGGAUGACGGCCUUCGGGUUGUAAACCGCUUUCAGCAGGGGCGAAGCUUGUGGUGACGGUACCUGCAGAAGAAGCACCGGCUAACUACGUG
Molecule: ribosomal RNA, 465 nt
Filed under: uncultured bacterium
Lineage: Bacteria
Description: partial 16S ribosomal RNA
Rfam family: Bacterial small subunit ribosomal RNA
Source: RNAcentral